GGCAAACGAAUUAUCUUUAUAUGUUUCAAAUAACUAGUAUGGAAACAUCACAGGUUAUUUACAACUUAAAUAACGCAAAUGCUAGUUCUUUUUUAUUUAUUUUCUGGCCUUUUUGGGGUGUAAUAGGCCAUGCAGUAGUACUCUCAUCGGAAUCAUAUGAAUCCCAAAAAACACAAAAAUCAAAAGAGUUAUAUCCUCCAUACAUUACCACCAUUUGCGCUUGUCCUUCCCUUUUCUCCACGCAAUUAUAUAUAUGUAUAUAUGUAUAACCAUCUUCCAUUUGAAAUCAUCUUCAAAUUUCCCUAGCUUAAUCAGCUCAAUCAUCACAAUUAUAUGUAUAUAUAAUCCCACUUUAUUUAACUAAACAGAAAUGGCACGCCAAAUUGUUGUUCUUGCCUUAGUCUUGGUGGCUCUUGUCGGGUCAGCUUCCGCCGCUGAAGCACCCACAGGUUCUCCGGCCACCGCCCCAACAGCUGGCGUCAGUUCCCCCGCCCCAACACCUUCGGCCGCAUCUCCUAGCCCAUACUCCUCCACCUCCGUCCCUACCUCGUCCAUAUCUCUUGCUCCGGAUGCCGAGACACCUGACGAGGCUCCGUCUCCUUUUGCUGAUGGACAAGGGAAAAAUGCACCAGCACCAGCACCAGCACCAGAUUCUGAUUAAGAGGACAGCUAAUCGACUUAGUAAGACUCCUAUAUCUUAAAUUUUCGAUCCUUUUAAAAUUUCGCUCCUCAGCCUCCUCCCCCACUACUAUAUAUAUAUAUAUACACACACACACAUUAAUAAAACCAAUGAUAUUAGUGGAUCAAUCGGCAGAAUUAGGAGAUAACAAUGAUAUUAAUGUAUCGAAUAAUCCUAUAGAUGACCUGUGACAUGUCUCGUGCUGCU
This 886-nucleotide long non-coding RNA is filed under the name Panax ginseng (ginseng). Its description in RNAcentral is "long non-coding RNA (PGIN_LNC010975)". Lineage: Eukaryota; Viridiplantae; Streptophyta; Magnoliopsida; Apiales; Araliaceae. The record is from RNAcentral.